GGCGUAGGCGGAAUUUUAAGCCAGACGUGAAAUCCCGAGGCUCAACCUCGGAACUGCGUUUGGAACUACUUUUCUAGAGGAUAGACGGAGAAAACAGAACUCUGCAUGUAGCGGUGAAAUGCGUAGAUAUGCAGAAGAAUACCGGUGGCGAAGGCGGUUUUCUAGUUUAUUCCUGACGCUGAGGCCCGAAAGCUAGGGGAGCGAACAGGAUUAGAUACCCUGGUAGUC
RNAcentral lists this ribosomal RNA (228 nucleotides) under uncultured bacterium. Its description in RNAcentral is "partial 16S ribosomal RNA". It matches the Rfam family "Bacterial small subunit ribosomal RNA", at positions 568 to 795 of the family's 1533-position model. The record is from RNAcentral.